AAGAGGAGCAAAAUAAAUUCUGCGAAUAGGGGAAAGUUGGAAGUGAACCACAUAGCUGGUUCAAAGUCAUUUGUACAACUUCGUCGCGAUAUGCGAGAUUCCGUCACUUGACAGGAGCCCGGACCAGUAGACUUCUACAGAGAGACUCAUUGUCGGCAGGCGACGGGAUCUUGGGUACAUCUUACAGCCAGCGAGAAUUGGGCGGCGAUGGACGCCAUACGCAGUCAGCCCACUCCCGAUGGUACUCAGCGGAGUGAGCCAGAGAUCCUGAGUGAGGUGCUUGGCACCCGUUCUGGAUAUGUGCGUGGGCUUGGCCAUGGUGCCAAGCUCAUGGCACUCGCUAGAGUUGCAUCCAGCCAAUCCGUCGCUGGCGAGAGCGCCAUACGCCGAACUGAUAUCGCAGAGAAAGAGGUUCAACAUCUAUGGGGCGCCGUCGACGAGAUCA
Molecule: long non-coding RNA, 445 nt
Organism: Magnolia sinica
Lineage: Eukaryota; Viridiplantae; Streptophyta; Magnoliopsida; Magnoliales; Magnoliaceae
Exons: 3
Source: RefSeq, a predicted model, not a curated record